This 253-nucleotide ribosomal RNA is filed under the name uncultured bacterium. RNAcentral's name for it is "partial 16S ribosomal RNA". It matches the Rfam family "Bacterial small subunit ribosomal RNA", at positions 524 to 776 of the family's 1533-position model. The record is from RNAcentral.
UACAGAGGUCUCAAGCGUUGUUCGGAUUCAUUGGGCGUAAAGGGUGCGUAGGUGGCGCGCUAAGUCAGGUGUGAAAUCUCGGGGCUUAACUCCGAAACUGCGUUUGAUACUGGCGUGCUUGAGGACUGGAGAGGAGACUGGAAUUCAUGGUGUAGCAGUGAAAUGCGUAGAGAUCAUGAGGAAGACCAGUGGCGAAGGCGGGUCUCUGGACAGUUCCUGACACUGAGGCACGAAGGCCAGGGGAGCAAACGGG